This 1468-nucleotide long non-coding RNA is filed under the name Homo sapiens (human). RNAcentral's name for it is "HSALNT0319205". Lineage: Eukaryota; Metazoa; Chordata; Mammalia; Primates; Hominidae. The record is from RNAcentral.
CAUUCUCAGACAUCGCUUCUUGAGAGUGUACUAACCAUCAACUAUCAUUUCACAAUGGAGAAGCUGGCUAUGACCAUGUGACUAAGCUCUCACUAAUGGAAGGUGAGCAGAAUUGAGGAGUGAUGGGCAUAACUUGUGUUCACUGCCAUAAAAGAAUGUCAUUCCACUUCCUCUCCUUCUUCCUCCCUAUAGGGUAGGCUGGAACUUGGAUGUGCAUUGGCAGGUCUGCAUUGGCAGACCAGAUGUCACCAUACAGACAACAAUAUCCUACAGGACAGAAAAGCUUGAAAGUAAAAGAAACUUUGGUGUUUGAAUAAACCACACAUUUGUCCUGGACAACCUGCCUAUCGUUGAACUGUUACAUGAGAGAAAAAGAGAUUUCUCUCUUAUUUGAACAAUUGCAUUUUCAAGUCUUUUUGUUACAGCAGCAUAACUGAUACCCUAACCCUGACAAAUACAUUUUUAAACAAAAGGAGGAAUGCUACUAUCGUACUCUAUGCUGGUCCAGUCUUACUUGGGGUGCAGUAUUCUCAUCUGUGAAUCACAUUUCAAGGGGCCUAAAGACAAAGUAGAAGUGUUCAGAUAACAGCAACAUGAUUGGUGAGAAAUUCAAAGUUGAAGAAACUGGAAGAGCAGAUUUAGAGUAAGUAGGAGUGCCACUUUCAAAUGUCUGAGGAACUGGCCUGUGAAAGAAUGAUUCACUUUGUUCUGUGUAGUUUCAGUAGAUAGAAGUAUGGUUCAACGGGAAAACUGAUUUUGCUGAAGAGAAAGAUUUCUGGCUGUCAGGUCUGCAUAGACAUUGGAGGCACUGAGUUCCCUGCUCAUGGAGAUAUUUUUCACAGAGCCUGGAUAAUCAUUUGGCUGGAUUUGUAACAACUGUGUAUCAUACAGCAUGAAAAUGCAUUUUCUAGCUUCCCUUGAAGUGAAAUGUGAGCAAAAAUGAUGCCAGCCACUCCCAGACCGGCCCAUAGAAACCUCCCAUAUUCUUUCUUCUUCUGCUGCUGGAUAUUGACACAGGGGAUGACUUUGAAAGCUGAGUAUUGAAGAUGGCAGAAGCUGUCUUUCAGCCUUGGUCCCUGAACAACAUGUUGAGCAGAUCCCGUGGUAAUCUGGAACUGCCCUGGACUGUAGGAAUCAACUUCUUUAUACAACAAUGGCAGAGAAGUUCUACAAUAUGGAGUCCUGUGAUAAAAGGUAAUGCCAAAAGUUUGUCCAAUGGUGACUUAUGGUUCAGUCCACUCAUUUUUGGUUUUUAGAUUCUUCAGUGUCCUUCUUUUAUCUGUUUCUAAAGUUACAAACUACCAGGAAAUUUCUCAUGGGAAAAAAAAAUCUGUAUCUUCGGAUUAUUUUACAAAUCGGAAGACUAGAACAUGUAUAUCAAAACCAGCUGGCGGCCCAGCACAGUGGCUCAUGCCUGUAAUACCAGCACUUUGGGAGGCCAAGGUGGGUGGAUCACCUGAGGUCAGGA